GGUAGAAUGGCCGAGUGUUUAGGUGGUGGGCUGUAGUCCCAUUUACAUGGGUUUAAAUCCUGUUUCUAUCA
This 71-nucleotide transfer RNA is filed under the name Lucasium damaeum (beaded gecko). Its description in RNAcentral is "tRNA-Tyr". It matches the Rfam family "tRNA". Rfam says of the family: Transfer RNA (tRNA) molecules are approximately 80 nucleotides in length. Their secondary structure includes four short double-helical elements and three loops (D, anti-codon, and T loops). Lineage: Eukaryota; Metazoa; Chordata; Lepidosauria; Squamata; Diplodactylidae. The record is from RNAcentral.